AUUGAACGCUGGCGGCAUGCCUUACACAUGCAAGUCGAACGGCAGCACGGGUGCUUGCACCUGGUGGCGAGUGGCGAACGGGUGAGUAAUACAUCGGAACGUACCUUAUCGCGGGGGAUAACGCAGCGAAAGCUGUGCUAAUACCGCAUACGCCCUGUGGGGGAAAGCGGGGGAUCGCAAGACCUAGCGCGAUUAGAGCGGCCGAUGCCUGAUUAGCUUGUUGGUGGGGUAAAAGCCCACCAAGGCGACGAUCAGUAGCUGGUCUGAGAGGACGAUCAGCCACACUGGGACUGAGACACGGCCCAGACUCCUACGGGAGGCAGCAGUGGGGAAUUUUGGACAAUGGGGGCAACCCUGAUCCAGCAAUGCCGCGUGAGUGAAGAAGGCCUUCGGGUUGUAAAGCUCUUUUGUCAGGGAAGAAACACCGGCUCUAACACAGUCCGGGAAUGACGGUACCUGAAGAAUAAGCACCGGCUAACUACGUGCCAGCCGCCGCCGUAA
This 501-nucleotide ribosomal RNA is filed under the name uncultured bacterium. Its description in RNAcentral is "partial 16S ribosomal RNA". It matches the Rfam family "Bacterial small subunit ribosomal RNA", at positions 29 to 523 of the family's 1533-position model. The record is from RNAcentral.